This 224-nucleotide ribosomal RNA is filed under the name uncultured Actinomycetales bacterium. RNAcentral's name for it is "partial 16S ribosomal RNA". It matches the Rfam family "Bacterial small subunit ribosomal RNA", at positions 107 to 334 of the family's 1533-position model. The record is from RNAcentral. Lineage: Bacteria; Bacillati; Actinomycetota; Actinomycetes; Actinomycetales.
UGAGUAACACGUGGGUAAUCUGCCCUGCACUCUGGGAUAAGCCUGGGAAACUGGGUCUAAUACUGGAUAUGACCUUUCUCCUUAUGGGGUUUGGUGGAAAGUUUUCGGUGUAGGAUGAGCCCGCGGCCUAUCAGCUUGUUGGUGGGGUGAUGGCCUACCAAGGCGACGACGGGUAGCCGGCCUGAGAGGGUGAUCGGCCACAUUGGGACUGAGAUACGGCCCAG